GAUGAACGCUGGCGGCGUGCCUAAUACAUGCAAGUCGAGCGAACAGAUGAGGAGCUUGCUCCUCUGACGUUAGCGGCGGACGGGUGAGUAACACGUGGAUAACCUACCUAUAAGACUGGGAUAACUUCGGGAAACCGGAGCUAAUACCGGAUAAUAUAUUGAACCGCAUGGUUCAAUAGUGAAAGACGGUUUUGCUGUCACUUAUAGAUGGAUCCGCGCCGCAUUUGCUAGUUGGUAAGGUAACGGCUUACCAAGGCAACGAUGCGUAGCCGACCUGAGAGGGUGAUCGGCCACACUGGAACUGAGACACGGUCCAGACUCCUACGGGAGGCAGCAGUAGGGAAUCUUCCGCAAUGGGCGAAAGCCUGACGGAGCAACGCCGCGUGAGUGAUGAAGGUCUUCGGAUCGUAAAACUCUGUUAUUAGGGAAGAACAAAUGUGUAAGUAACUAUGCACGUCUUGACGGUACCGAAUCAGAAAGCCACGGCUAACUACGU
Molecule: ribosomal RNA, 496 nt
Filed under: uncultured bacterium
Lineage: Bacteria
Description: partial 16S ribosomal RNA
Rfam family: Bacterial small subunit ribosomal RNA
Source: RNAcentral